Rhagoletis zephyria (snowberry fruit fly) is the source of this 364-nucleotide long non-coding RNA. RefSeq lists it as uncharacterized. NCBI's taxonomy places the organism in Eukaryota, Metazoa, Arthropoda, Insecta, Diptera, Tephritidae. The record is from RefSeq and is a predicted model, not a curated record.
ACUGUCCUCUUUGCUGUCAUUCGUUUGGUUCGUUGCUUCAUCGUUGUUUGUCCAUCCAUUGUGUGUUUCGCGUUGCGCUCUGCAUUUUUCAUUAAUAAUUUCGUUUAAGUUCAGUAUUUACAAUUUAUUUGCUUAUUCUAUAAUUUGAAGACGUUGGAAACAUAAUAAUUUAAUUACUAAGUGUUUUACAACGAUUUGUGUAGUGAUUAAAGUGAAUUUUUCGAACAGAAAUGCGGAAAAAUAUGUACAUAUAAUCGAAACAAGAGUUCCAGUAGAGGAAUCGCUUUAUUCAUCAGUAGGCGCAUCACUGGAUGAAAGUAUUUAUUGUGGAGAAAUGUGAAUCAAAUGAGCUAAAUGUGCAAAA